AAUGGUAAGCCCUUUCGUGGGGUUCGACUGGCGCUCGGUUGCGUAACGCGUGCCCAUCUUUCACUUCCGAGGUUGUAAUUAUCUGGUAAUUUGGUUCAAUAACCUAAUAUGAUAUUGGUCGUCAUUUCUUGGGGCGAUCCCCCUGUGAGAUGUAAGUUGCAUAUGCGUCACGCACCCGUGCUCCGGUUUCAGCGCCACACAGAGCCUCCCACACGUCUUGGUUGUGUGAGGGAGAUCGCCAACGCUGGUCCUGAGCCAGGGUCAAACUCUCUACGGGAGGCAGCAGUGGGGAAUAUUGCACAAUGGGCGCAAGCCUGAUGCAGCGACGCCGCGUGAGGGAUGACGGCCUUCGGGUUGUAAACCUCUUUCAAUAGGGACGAAGCGCAAGUGACGGUACCUAUAGAAGAAGGACCGGCCAACUACGUGCCAGCAGCCGCGGUAAUACGUAGGGUCCGAGCGUUGUCCGGAAUUACUGGGCGUAAAGAGCUCGUAGGUGGUUUGUCGCGUUGUUCGUGAAAACUCACAGCUUAACUGUGGGCGUGCGGGCGAUACGGGCAGACUAGAGUACUGCAGGGGAGACUGGAAUUCCUGGUGUAGCGGUGGAAUGCGCAGAUAUCAGGAGGAACACCGGUGGCGAAGGCGGGUCUCUGGGCAGUAACUGACGCUGAGGAGCGAAAGCGUGGGGAGCGAACAGGAUUAGAUACCCUGGUAGUCCACGCCGUAAACGGUGGGUACUAGGUGUGGGUUUCCUUCCUUGGGAUCCGUGCCGUAGCUAACGCAUUAAGUACCCCGCCUGGGGAGUACGGCCGCAAGGCUAAAACUCAAAGGAAUUGACGGGGGCCCGCACAAGCGGCGGAGCAUGUGGAUUAAUUCGAUGCAACGCGAAGAACCUUACCU
RNAcentral lists this ribosomal RNA (897 nucleotides) under Mycolicibacterium fortuitum subsp. acetamidolyticum. RNAcentral's name for it is "bacterial SSU rRNA". It matches the Rfam family "Bacterial small subunit ribosomal RNA", at positions 65 to 976 of the family's 1533-position model. The record is from RNAcentral. Lineage: Bacteria; Bacillati; Actinomycetota; Actinomycetes; Mycobacteriales; Mycobacteriaceae.